UAGCUGUAAACGAUACUCGCUAGGUGUCGGCCACGGUGCGACCGUUGUCGGUGCCGUAGGGAAGCCGUGAAGCGAGCCACCUGGGAAGUACGGCCGCAAGGCUGAAACUUAAAGGAAUUGGCGGGGGAGCACCACAACGGGUGGAGCUUGCGGUUUAAUUGGAUUCAACGCCGGAAAUCUUACCGGGACCGACAGCAACAUGAAGGCCAGGCUGAAGACUUUGCCGGAUUAGCUGAGAGGAGGUGCAUGGCGUCAGUGACU
Molecule: ribosomal RNA, 261 nt
Filed under: uncultured archaeon
Lineage: Archaea
Description: partial 16S ribosomal RNA
Rfam family: Archaeal small subunit ribosomal RNA
Source: RNAcentral